AUUGAACGCUGGCGGCAUGCCUUACACAUGCAAGUCGAACGGUAACAGGUCUUCGGAUGCUGACGAGUGGCGAACGGGUGAGUAAUACAUCGGAACGUGCCCGAUCGUGGGGGAUAACGAAGCGAAAGCUUUGCUAAUACCUCAUACGAUCUACGGAUGAAAGCAGGGGACCGCAAGGCCUUGCGCGAACGGAGCGGCCGAUGGCAGAUUAGGUAGUUGGUGGGAUAAAAGCUUACCAAGCCGACGAUCUGUAGCUGGUCUGAGAGGACGACCAGCCACACUGGGACUGAGACACGGCCCAGACUCCUACGGGAGGCAGCAGUGGGGAAUUUUGGACAAUGGGCGAAAGCCUGAUCCAGCCAUGCCGCGUGCAGGAUGAAGGCCUUCGGGUUGUAAACUGCUUUUGUACGGAACGAAAAGACUCUGGUUAAUACCUGGGGUCCAUGACGGUACCGUAAGAAUAAGCACCGGCUAACUACGUG
This 482-nucleotide ribosomal RNA is filed under the name uncultured bacterium. RNAcentral describes it as "partial 16S ribosomal RNA". It matches the Rfam family "Bacterial small subunit ribosomal RNA", at positions 30 to 507 of the family's 1533-position model. The record is from RNAcentral.